AAUCAACGCUGGCGGCGUGCCUCAGACAUGCAAGUCGAACGCGAAAGUUUCCUUCGGGGAACAAGUAGAGUGGCGCACGGGUGAGUAACACGUAGGUAAUCUACCUUUGGAUGGGGAAUAACAAUCGGAAACGGUUGCUAAUACCGCAUAAUGCAGCGGCACCUAAUGGUGACAGUUGUUAAAGCGGGGGAUCGAAAGACCUCGCGUCUGAAGAGGAGCCUGCGGCGGAUUAGCUAGUUGGUAAGGUAAUGGCUUACCAAGGCUACGAUCCGUAACCGGCCUGAGAGGGCGGUCGGUCACACUGACACUGACAUACGGGUCAGACUCCUACGGGAGGCAGCAGUAGGGAAUAUUGGUCAAUGGAUGCAAGUCUGAACCAGCCAUGCCGCGUGCAGGAAGAAGGCGUUAUG
Molecule: ribosomal RNA, 410 nt
Filed under: uncultured bacterium
Lineage: Bacteria
Description: bacterial SSU rRNA
Rfam family: Bacterial small subunit ribosomal RNA
Source: RNAcentral